This is a non-coding RNA of Thozetella sp. PMI_491, 136 nucleotides long. NCBI's taxonomy places the organism in Eukaryota, Fungi, Ascomycota, Sordariomycetes, Chaetosphaeriales, Chaetosphaeriaceae. The record is from the annotation of a GenBank genome assembly.
GGUUGCGUAGUCUAGUGGUUAUGACCCUGGAUUGUAAGUAAUACUGAACCACCUACAUGUGGAGAAAUACUAAUCGUCACAGCUGAUUGUCAAUAUCACAAUUCCAGUAGCCCCGGUUCGAUCCCGGGCGCGACCU